This 282-nucleotide long non-coding RNA is filed under the name Castor canadensis (American beaver). RNAcentral describes it as "lncRNA (ENSCCNG00000028425.1)". The record is from RNAcentral. Lineage: Eukaryota; Metazoa; Chordata; Mammalia; Rodentia; Castoridae.
UUUUUUUUUUUACGUUGGCCCUUUCCUUACCAUGAACAGCAAUCAAAUGUUACCACUUUGUCCAGGUCACAGAUGAAAUCAUGGCACAAUAAUUCAGUAGAAAACACUUCCAUGGAGUAUCUCUUAGCAGAAAUAUUUAGAGGGACCUGGUGGUGGUAGCCCAGAAUUUUUUCUGUGCUGGCUGUGGAACUCCAAUUGAACUUAAGUUUGUGAAGAGGCUCCGGUACUGCAACUAUCUGGGGAAGUAUUUCUGCGAGAGCUGUCACUCAUAUGCAGAGUCCU